This 424-nucleotide ribosomal RNA is filed under the name Verrucomicrobiota bacterium. RNAcentral describes it as "Verrucomicrobia bacterium partial 16S ribosomal RNA". It matches the Rfam family "Bacterial small subunit ribosomal RNA", at positions 355 to 776 of the family's 1533-position model. The record is from RNAcentral. Lineage: Bacteria; Pseudomonadati; Verrucomicrobiota.
UGAGGAAUAUUGGUCAAUGGACGCAAGUCUGAACCAGCCAAGUAGCGUGCAGGAUGACGGCCCUAUGGGUUGUAAACUGCUUUUAUAUGGGGAUAAAGUGGGGAACGUGUUCCCUUUUGCAUGUACCAUACGAAUAAGGACCGGCUAAUUCCGUGCCAGCAGCCGCGGUAAUACGGAAGGUCCAGGCGUUAUCCGGAUUUAUUGGGUUUAAAGGGAGCGUAGGCUGUUUGUUAAGCGUGUUGUGAAAUGUAAGAGCUCAACUUUUAGAUUGCAGCGCGAACUGGCAGACUUGAGUGCGCACAACGUAGGCGGAAUUCAUGGUGUAGCGGUGAAAUGCUUAGAUAUCAUGACGAACUCCGAUUGCGAAGGCAGCUUACGGGAGCGCAACUGACGCUAAAGCUCGAAGGUGCGGGUAUCGAACAGG